CAUAACUUCUACAUUUAAACAGAAUUCUUUGGCAUUGCCUCAUAUGUGUGUGUUAACAGAAGUAUGAGGAAUGCAGCUCUGAGUCAGCACAGUGGAAUGACAAACGAAAGUCAAGACUGAGGGACCUGUAGCGUCUUCCAGAAGGCAACAGUGUGUGAAUUUCCAUACCGGACGAUUAUGGAUGAGAAGAACAGCUCCUAAGAAGAACAGCUCCUAAGCCAUGUUGUGAAGCAUCUGCGGAGAUUCUUGUGUUCGGCCUUGGGUCAUAGAAUCGCAAUACAGG
Thalassophryne amazonica is the source of this 283-nucleotide long non-coding RNA. RefSeq lists it as uncharacterized. NCBI's taxonomy places the organism in Eukaryota, Metazoa, Chordata, Actinopteri, Batrachoidiformes, Batrachoididae. The transcript has 3 exons. The record is from RefSeq and is a predicted model, not a curated record.